CACAAUGAAGAACUACUCUAACCUCUAAUCCAACACAACUAACCAACUAAGCAAAGGCUAAUCAUGCUAUCAUAAAAGCAAACAAAGCGAACGCAAUACACAUAUUCCAUCAUAUGUGUUCUAUACAGAUUGAUCAACUAAGCGAAGAUACAAUCACCAAUUAGGCAACUAAGCGUAUACCCAUUGCAAGAACACAAUCAGAUUUCCUAGAGUGUCAGGCAUAGCAGAAUAAUCACAAGACAGUCCGAGAAUCUCAAAGAAGCAAAGUAAUAUCGCUAAUGACCGACCCGACUCACUUAAGCUAAUAUCACAAUUAAAGAAGUAGAAGCAUCAGUAAAGGCAAACUGAGAUUAAAACAACACCUGAAAACAAAAUGAACAAUAAAACGCAAUGACAUAGUAUAACAAUAAAGAAGAUGGUGAACCACUUAAUUGCAAUAAGCAUAUUAGCAGCAGCAAGAACCAACUUUUGUGGUGAACUUGAAUGAUGCAAAUGGUGAAUUAGCAGAAAGCAAUUUUAAAACAUUAGAAUGUCGUGAAUGCUGAAUGUAUUGAAAGAUGCCACUAAAUGUGGGCGUGACAGCCAUGUGCGCCCCAUCUAAUAAUCAAGAAACUUGCUUUCUUAAAGAAAUGAAUUUAACUUCAUCACCGUGAAGUUUCUCCCUAAUGAAAUCAACAUUGUGCAAUUUCCAGAAUUAAGCGUCGUCAUCUUCAGCUGAAAUAGAAAUAAGCUAAUUCUAAGGAAAUGAAUGAUUCCGCAUGUGCGCUUCUUUCCCAUGAAAUCAAUGCUUUCUCCAAUUGAAUAAAAAUAAAAACGAUGCACCCUUAAAUGAAAUCCAGCUAACACGUGAGCAAUUGUGCCUCUUCAAUAAGCGUUUCUUCAUUCAUUCAUCAUCAAAGUGUGUAAAAACCAUUGAAAGAAAAAUGAUGUCCCGAGAUAUGUUGCAGCCGUGACACCACCUCUUUGCUUCCAAAUAAAAAGAACGCUGCACACUAUAAAAGAAAUAUGCCCUUGGACGUUCCAGCACUUAGGCUUCCUUAAAGAACCGUAUCAAUUUCUCAAAUUGAAAUCAGCAUUUUUAUAUUAAAGCAAAGCACUGUGAACUCUCCAUUUUCUUCAACCAAAAUUCAUAAACAUAUGUGGCGAUUGCAGCUAAUGAAAAAGUAAAGAGAAAAAAAAAUGCUUUCUUUUAUUCAACCAAAAUCAAAAUGACUAAACAUUGUUCAAAGAAAAACUUUUACCUACUGGAACAUUGCAACCAAAUUCCUUCCUCUACAAAAUAUCUGCCGAGAAAAAGUGUCUCCCAAGUGUGACGGCUGGUGACUUUUCUAAGAGGCCAUGUGUCCUAAAAUUGGGGUGGGGUCCACCCUAAAAAUAAAAGGAAAACCUAGGUCAAGUGUCCUACAAUUUUAGGCCCCUCAUAAUUUUUAACAAUGGCCCAAUGUGCAAAACUUUGUCCAAAAAGUUUAAACAAUUAAAUUACAAUAUAACUAAAUUUAAAAUGUCUAUUUGGAGAGUCUUGAAUUUAUUUGAUAGCACUCCAAAUGUCCCAAAUUGUAUUUCCAAAAUUUUCCCUGAAAAUAAUAAUGCAAAUAAUUAGCUCAGAAAAUUCAAAUUAAUUAGAAUUAGAAUUUCUAGUCAAAUUAAGCACAAUUAGCAGAAACGGGAAAAUACCGGACAAUUAAGCACAAUUCCCUGAUUAAUUCUAGCACAAUAAACUAAGUGAAAUCAAUAAAAUAUCGACUCAUCAAAAUAGACCACACUUAAUCUUUUGCACUCUUGGGGAAAAUCAAGACGCAAAUCAGGGAACAACUCAACGGACAUCAGGGAAGAGACAGACUCAACACAUAGAAAACAAAGACUGACAAGGAUAGAAACAAAAUUACACAGUCCUCAAGAAAUUUGGACAAUGAAAGGAAGUGGACAGUAUCCAACACAGAAUAAAGGAAAGCAGAUACUCAUGAAAUCAUUCAAGCAAUUCAAGACAUGGCAAAAUGAUCAAUCAGCUCAAGAGGUGAAUCAAAAGCAACAGAGCCUCACAGAUGCACUAUCAUUGUUUCUCUCAAGUGUCUAGGGUAAAGAAAUUCAACUCAAUGCACUCAAGAAAACAAGCACAAACAGACUUGGCAAGCUUCUAAUAUCAACACUCAAAACAUAUGCAUGUUCAAAUCAAAAGGUCUUUUAUAGAUGUAAUGGGGCCAAGGACAAGGGAUGAUAAAAUAUGGAUGAGAAGCUACAAACCAAAAGAAAUAGAGGAGCAAUGGGGAACAAGUGAAAAUCCAAGUAAAUCACACCCAAAACCCUUUAAUUCAAUCCUCUUCUUGACUCCAUUAUUCACAAGUUUUUUUCUCAUUUUUCUUUUUUUCAUUUUUUUUUUCUCAUCUUGUCUCUUUUCUUUUCUUUUCUUUUUUUUAUUUAGGACACAAAUCUAAGAGACAAGAUACACAACAUAUUUAUACAAACAGAAACAAGAAGAGGAACCAAUUAGCCAAUUCAUCAGAAUCCCCACGGAGACCACACUUAUUCCCAAAACUAUUCCAAAGCUCCAAAAAUCCCUAAUGUUAAGGUAAUCAUGGUUUUUCAGUUAGGGCUAGUGUAUGAGCUUCAAAAACAAAGAAAUGGGGAAGGCAUAGGCUCAAAAGGGGUUAUCAAGGGAUCUAAACAAGGUAGGCUCAUCUGGCUAGAGAGGAUCAAGAACAAAACUGCCUUUAUCACUUCCAAACAUGCAUAUCAAUCAAGAAUCAUCAAAAAGAGUCAAGCCAAGGCAUAUGUUCAAGCAAUCAAGAGACAUAUCACACAGGAAAGAACAUAAAGUGGCUCAAAUCUCACACAGGGUAAUUGUCACAAUCAAAUCAACCUCUCAAACAUCAUAAUCAUCUUCCAAGCAGAGAAAAACAUGGAUUUCAGACCAAUCAGAGUAUCAAUAAAAUGAAAGACACAUCUACAACCUAAGCAAAGUCCAGAAAUCAAGAGAAACAUGUAAAACUAUACACAAGACAAAACAAAAACUACCUAGAAAACAAAAAAAUUUAACACAAAAAACCAUAAACUAAUCAAAGAAAAAUUAGAGUCUCCCCCAAUAGACCACACUUAAACUACACAGUGUCCCCAAUGUGUCACAAGCAUAAGAUCAGUAGUCAAAACAGUCAACAGAUCAUGGACAAGUGUAAUACAAGUGGGGUAAGAAGGAGAAGGGAAAGAAAACUCCCCUGAUCAUGGUGGCAGUUGCCAAUUUUGGAGUUUCAAGGAGAUCUCUUCCACCACAGGAUUCAGCCAAGAAGUCUUGAGGAGGAACUACUUCAGUCUCCAAAUUUGAUCAAGCAGGGAAAUGUCCUCCAUAGCUGGAUCUAAGAAGCAAUGAUUGUUGAUGAGUUGGUUCAGUUGGUGCCUAUUGAUGUUAAAGCUCUUGUGUAUGCUUGCACCUUUGUUUUCCAUUGUGGGUGCUUGUUGGUCAAACUCAUGUGUACCUCCUGCAAUAGGGUUAGUGCAAUGUGGCUCCAAAGAAAUGACAUGCAGGGGUAUAACACCCAAUCCCAGUGUAACAGGUUGAACCUCAGAUAAACCCUCAAAACAUGAAUCAAUUUCAAAUGUAGAAACAAUAUCAACAACAGUCACAGAUUCAUGUUCAGUGCAUGGAGAACAAACUUUCAAAUGUGAUAUCAAACAGUGGUUUUCAUCAUGCAGAGAGGUAGAAUAAAAAUCAUGCUCAUCAACAAUAUAAUCAUCAACAUACCUAUCACUAGCAUCAUCAUCAACAACAGAAUCAAUCAUAGGUAUGUUUACCUCCACUUCCCUGAAGAUUGGUAGAGUGGGGGAAGAUGAAGAUGGUUUACCUAUCUCAAUGGUGUUGCUUAUAUCUGCCUGUUCCUCAACAUUUUCAUCAGACUCACAGUUAGUAUCACCCAUCAAUAAGUUGGAAGUUGGUUGUAUCACAGAAUUGAUUUCAACACAAAUAGAGCAAGAACCAACUUCACAACCACAUUUAAAAUUUUCAGAAAACUGUGAAAGAUCAAAAUUUAAUCCUAAGUCUAAAUCAUCUUCAGUUUUCACAGUUUCUAUAUCGAAAUCAUCACUAACAUGUGAAUCUGCAGCAGAAUCAAGAAUAUUUGAAUUCAUAAACAGCUCAGGCAAAACAAGUGGAAUUUCAAGUUUAGAGAAAACCUGUGCUGAUUCAUGAUUCAUCUCACCAACAACAGUAGAAUGAGCAAGUGGAAUUUCAAGUUUAGAGGAAACCUAUGCUGAUUCAUGAUUCAUCUCACCAACAACAGUAGAAUGAGCAACUGCAUCCGCAGGUGCAAGAGUGGGGAGAUAGGAGGGUGGGAAAGUAGAUGGCGCAGUAGUAAGCUCGUGGCUCUGUUCCUCAUCUCCUAUGUGGAUGGCACUGACAUCAUCAAGAAUCGGAACAGUCUGAAAUGGUGAUCCCUCUAAAAAUUGAGAUUGUUCCUCGGUGCACUGUGCGGCCAUCUGCCCCUACAAUUCAUUCAAUGUAGGCUCAAAAGAAGUAAAAGAUUUGGCAAGUGCCUUUUGCUGUUUUUGUUGCCUCUGAUUUUUCUGUUGUGGCUGCCUGUUAUUGUAGAUGUUGGUAGCAUAAGCUUGAGACUCAUCAUGAGAAAUAGGGUGCUCCAAAGAAGGACAUGCAUCUGUAUAGUGGUCACUAGAAGGACAUAUAGCACACAGCCGUGCAACAGAUGUAGAUGGAGGUGUUAGUCUCUGGUUGGAUGCGAGCUGUGUCACCAAACUCUCAAGAGGAUCAAGUUUGCUUUCCAAUUUCCUACCAACAGCUCAUAAAGAAUGGGCAGGUUCAUGAAACUGCAGCUGCUGAGGUUCCUAAACAGGUGGAGAAGGCAUACAAGAAUUCGGAAAUGGUUGAUAUUGCUGUGGAGCAUCAUACCAUCCCAAGCUAGGGUCAUUCCAUCCAGGAUCGUUACUGUUACCAUAUUGAGCAGGGAAGAAUUUAUCCAAGAACGUAUGCUUAAGAUCUUCCCAAGAAGUGAUGGAUCCUGGAGGAAGACAAUACAACCAACCCCUUGCUGCUUCUUGUAAUGAAUGCGGGAAUGCCCUUAAAAACAUGUCUUCAUCCAGGACAUCUGGAGGUUUCAUUAAAGAGCAUAAUGUGUAGAACUCCUCCAAAUGUCUAAGUGGGCAUUCACCUGCAAAACCAUGAAACCUAGGUAGCAAAUGUAUCAGUCCAGUGUUGAAAACACAACGAAUAUCCUCCUCAUCAAGUGGAACUGGCUCCCUAGGAGCACUCUCAUGAGAUGGAAGAGGAACCUUAGUGUUCUCAACAUAGAAAUCAACAGGAGAAUCAUAAUCAUAGGCACAAGCAGAAAAAACAGUAUCCACAAAGCCAAAAUAGGUAGACAUGGGAAAGAAGGGAGAAAAGAAUAAUGCAAUGAAAAUAUGCAACUAAAGCUACCUAAAUGCAACACACAAUGACGAACACACAAAACAAAACAUCACACUCACAACACAAGACAAGACAACACACACUAACACAACAAAAGACCCAAAACCGAACAGUUGGUCCCCGGCAACGGUGCCAAAAUUUUGAUGGGCAUCGCACCCCAUGCAAAAUUUAAUAUGCAUAUUAGAAAUGCAGUAUAGACUAGGAAGUGACUCCUAGAUCGUCUCUCAAGGACCAAAUGUGGUUCGAGAAUUAGGUCAAACAUGUAAGGGGGGUUGUUGAAAAGUUUUGUGAAUGUAGAUGAAUAAAAUUAAAUUACGAAUGCAAACAGAAAUGCAAAUACAGAUGUAAAAAUGGUUCAAAGACAGAAUGAAAAUGGUCGGUCAUUAACUCAAUUACUAUGCUUCCAAUCACAUAUUAACACAAUGAAAAGCUACUCUAACCUCUAAUCCAACACAGCUAACCAACUAAGCGAAGGCUAAUCAUGCAAUCAUAAAAGCGAACUAAGUGAACGCAAUACACAUAUUCCAUCAGAUGUGUUCUAUACAGAUUGAUCAACUAAGCGAAGAUACAAUCACCAAUUAGGCAACUAAGUGUAUACCCAUUGUAAGAACACAAUCAGAUUUCCUAGAGUGUUAGGCAGAGAAGAAUAAUCACAAGACAGUCCGAGAAUCUCAAAGAAGCAAAGUAAUAUAACUAAUGACCGACCCGACUCACUUAAGCUAAUAUCACAAUUAAAGAAGUAGAAGCAUCAGUAAAGGCAAACUGAGAUUAAAACAACACCUGAAAACAAAAUGAANAAUAAAACGCAAUGACAUAUAACAAUAAAGAAGAUUAUUCUUCCCACCCCUUGUUCUCAUGCUUUGCACCUCCAUUUAUUUUUCUAUUUUGUCCCUUUAUUCUUUGUCCACCCUGCUCGUUUACCUUUGCACUACCCACUCUUUUCAUUUUUUUCCUUUUGGGCUGGAAUGCGUUUCACUUUCUGCACCGAUGCUUUCACCAUUUAGUCUCUCCCACCUCUUUCAUUUUAUUUUUGGGCUUUAGAUUUUUGCACACCAUGCAUUAUAACCUUUUGUGCCCCC
RNAcentral lists this long non-coding RNA (6486 nucleotides) under Vigna radiata. RNAcentral's name for it is "long non-coding RNA (VRAD_LNC011796)". The record is from RNAcentral. Lineage: Eukaryota; Viridiplantae; Streptophyta; Magnoliopsida; Fabales; Fabaceae.